GACGAGGUGGCCGAGAGGUUAAGGUGAUGGACUACUAAUCCAUUGCGCUCUGCGCGCGUGGGUUAGAAUUCCACUCUCGUCG
Hemiscyllium ocellatum (epaulette shark) is the source of this 82-nucleotide non-coding RNA. The record is from the annotation of a RefSeq genome assembly. NCBI's taxonomy places the organism in Eukaryota, Metazoa, Chordata, Chondrichthyes, Orectolobiformes, Hemiscylliidae.